GAUUGGCAGGAGUGAUGAAUCAAUUAGAUGUGCGAAGUUACCUUAUGAGCUUGACUUUUGAGGCAUACAUUCUGUCUGACGACCUGCCAAUC
Small nucleolar RNA from Phragmites australis (common reed), 92 nucleotides. RefSeq annotates it as small nucleolar RNA Z266. The transcript has a single exon. NCBI's taxonomy places the organism in Eukaryota, Viridiplantae, Streptophyta, Magnoliopsida, Poales, Poaceae. The record is from RefSeq and is a predicted model, not a curated record.